CUCUGUGAUCAAACUCGACUUCAUAGUCUUUUUCAACUAUUUGAGAAACACUCAAUAGAUUUUUGCACAGCUCCAUUACCUACACGUAUAGGAACAUUGAAGCUUGUGUUGAUGUGAGCGAAUAGGUUCUCAUGUGGCGUCAUGUGAUUUGUGCUCCCACUAUCAAUAAGCCAGACAUUCUCUUCUAGUAUUUCUUGGUCUUCUUGUCUUGCAGUGAACAUAUGAUAAGUUUCAUCUUCUUCAUUGUCUUCUUGAGUAACUUGAGCUUGAGUAACUUGAGCUUGUUCUCCAUUCUUGAGUUUGCAGUCACUGAUUAGGUGACCUACUUUUCCACAGUGAAAACAACUUCUAGUUUCUCUGUUUCCGUUGAAAGCAGACUUCGAAACCGUGCAUAGAAGGCUCCUUUAGCUUCUUUUUCAUCCUCUGGAAAGAAUUUCUUCUCAUGUGCCUCUAGAGAUCCAAGCAGCUCAGCAUAGGAGUGCUCCAGAAGUUUCCAUGCUUGACGUGCUGAGUUUGCAGAGAGAAUCUUGUCAAAGACCACAUCAGCCACUACAUGCUGAACGAUUUGGAGAGCAGCCAUGUCUUUAGCUUUGA
This is a non-coding RNA of Camelina sativa (false flax), 594 nucleotides long. The record is from RefSeq and is a predicted model, not a curated record. Lineage: Eukaryota; Viridiplantae; Streptophyta; Magnoliopsida; Brassicales; Brassicaceae.